This 372-nucleotide ribosomal RNA is filed under the name uncultured organism. RNAcentral describes it as "partial 16S ribosomal RNA". It matches the Rfam family "Bacterial small subunit ribosomal RNA", at positions 527 to 896 of the family's 1533-position model. The record is from RNAcentral.
GGAGGGGGCUAGCGUUGUUCGGAAUUACUGGGCGUAAAGCGCGCGUAGGCGGACCUGCAAGUCGGGGGUGAAAGCCCGAGGCUCAACCUCGGAACUGCCUUCGAUACUGCGGGUCUCGAGUCCGGGAGAGGUGAGUGGAAUUCCUAGUGUAGAGGUGAAAUUCGUAGAUAUUAGGAAGAACACCAGUGGCGAAGGCGGCUCACUGGCCCGGUACUGACGCUGAGGCGCGAAAGCGUGGGGAGCAAACAGGAUUAGAUACCCUGGUAGUCCACGCCGUAAACUAUGGGUGCUAGCCCGUCGGUCGGCAUGCCGGUCGGUGGCGCAGCAAACGCAUUAAGCACCCCCGCCUGGGGGAGUACGGUCGCAAGAUUA